Molecule: long non-coding RNA, 5073 nt
Filed under: Homo sapiens (human)
Lineage: Eukaryota; Metazoa; Chordata; Mammalia; Primates; Hominidae
Description: HSALNT0351990
Source: RNAcentral
ACCCUUCAUGCUAAAAACUCUCAAUAAAUUAGGUAUUGAUGGGACGUAUUUCAAAAUAAUAAGAGGAAACACUUUUCAACAUGUUUUAUGAGUCUACCGUUAUCCCCAUACCAAAACCAUAAAACAGACAUUACAAGAAAAUGUCCUGUAGACAAAUAUGUAUUUUGAUGAUGAAUUUAGAUUUCAAAAACUUCAGCAAAAUAUUAUCCAAUUAAAUCCUCUCAUGUCUGUGUGUGUGUGUGUGUGCAUGCACGUGUGUUUGUAAAAUAUAUCAUUACUAAUUGGCGUUUAUCUUGGGAGUUCAAGAUGGUUUCCAUAUUCAAUCAACCCAUCAAUGUGGACUAUGGUCACUUGAAAAGACCAGCAAAUCCUCUGCACAAAAGGCCACUAGAAAUUCAUUAAAGCAGCCUUCCAUCAUUCUCGAAAUUGACCAAAGCAUUCAACUACCUGAGAAAUAUUUAUGUUUGGAAAGCUAUUGAAAUGCAAUUAAAAAUAUCAGGAAACCUGUUUUUACCUUUUGUCCUAAUCUUGCUAAAUCCUUCUUAAUUUUAGGAGACACUGCUUCUCCUUCCACUGUUCUUUUACUUUCUCCUUCCCCUUUGUUUUUGCCUCCCCCUUCCUCUCCCUUUUCUACAUUCCUUCUCUCUCCUAAAUGCUGUAUAAAUUUCUACAUAUGUAAUCAUAUUAUUUACAAAUAGGAACAGUUUUACUUAUUUCUUUCCAGUCUGCAUUUAUUUUAUUCUUCCUUUUUUUCCUUACACACUGGAUAGAACUCUAAGUAUUAUGUUGAAAAAGAGUGAUAAAAGCAAACAUCUUUGCUUUAUUCCUGAGCAUACAUGUGGAAAACAUUCAGUGUUUCACAGCUAAAUAUGAUGGAUUUUUUGUAUGCUCUUUAUCAAGAUGAAGGAAUUUUCUGCUAUUUCUGGUUUGCUGAAUUUUUAUCACAAGUAACUGUUGAAUAGUGUCUUUUUCCCCUGCAUUUAUUGAACUGAUCAUGCAUUCUCCUAUUUUAGAAUAUUAAUAUGAUGAACUAUAUUAUUAGAUUUUUUAAAAUAUUGCAACUGUCUUGCAUUUCUGGAAUAAACAUGGCUUGGUCAUGUGUCACUUUUUUACAUAGUGUCGUAUUCAAGUUGUCGAGGAUUUUGCAUCUAGGGUAUAUUUGUAGAUUUGCAUCUAGGUUAUGUUGGUCUAAAGUUUUGUUUGUUUGUUUUCCUUUUCUUUUUUUUUAUCAUCUUUGUCUUCUUCUGUUUAAGUGUCAUGCUUGCUUCAUAAAAUGAAUUGAGAAGCAUUUCUUCCUCUUCUGUUUCUCGAAAAUUGUAGAGAACUCUUGUUUUUUGUUGUUGUUUGUUUGUUGUUUUGUUUUUUCUUAUUUUUAUCCUCAUACUGAGAACCAAACAGUCUGGAGUGUAAAACAUGGUUCCUCAUUCCAGUUAAAUCUAGUAUACAAUGACAACAACCCUCUUGGGUUAAGCAUUGGCCUACAAACAGAAAAAAACCUUCAGGGAGAUAGAUGCUGAUCUAGGCAUUGUGAGAAAAGCUGAAUUCAUUUUUAAUCAUGAAUGGCUUUUAAGGAAAGAAGAUUUAUUAACUAAAAUAAAUAGAUUAGAGGGAAUUCUCACCUAUGAGAGAGGAAGGGAUGGGAUUCAACCUGGAAAAAGUAAUGAAGUUUUAGUGAACUUGGUAAGGUAGACUCAACAAUUAAUGAUGGAUAAUGCUAGGACCCAACACUGGUAAUGAGUUUGUAUUAUGACUCAAUAGCAUCACUUUAUCACUUUAACACAGAUGGAGGCCUAAAUAACCAUAGGGUAAUGGUUCUUCUUAGAUGCAGAAGGACACAUUUAUAUAAUCUUAGGGACCCCAUCUCUGAGGUCACUCAUAAUUUAUAUUAAUUCAUUGUUAUUGCCAUUGCCCCAAGAAUAGAUAAGGAUAAGACAUCCUGUAGUACAGGUAGCAGAGAUAUAAACUAUUCUUAUUCUUGUGUCUUGUCUAUAGGAAGGGAGUGUAUCCUGGUGUAAGACAGCAUAUAGUAGAGACCAUUGUCAAUUAGGGCCUGUGAACUAAGACAGGGUGACUGGCUAAGUCCACAACCCAUUAGAAACCCAGAAAUAAUCAAAUCAUGGUGAGUAGUAAUAACACUUAUUUAUAAUACUAUACGGUAUAAAGACAAGAACCAAUUAUGUUGAGUAGCUGUAACAAAUAGCUCUAUCAUUCGUAAUAACUUUUUCUGUAAUAAAACUGAAUUGUAACAUGAUCAUACUGCAAUAUGACAUUACACUAGCAUUGUUGGUAAGAUUCAACUAUCUUAUGUAGAGAAGUUAUAUAAUGCUUAUAUUGAUAAUCAAAUGUAUUAAGAUAUUGAGUUAAAGCCUCUUCAGAAUGUAAUCUGGGUGAAUAAUAAAUGGCCUGAGAAAACAGAAUUCAGCUAACCAUUAUCUAAUUUCAAUGCUAAAUAGUUCUGCACAGAUUUAUCAAAAAGUAAAAAUAAAAGCAGAUUGAGAGGAGGAAUGAAUAAUUUUGUUUGUACAAAAUAUUAAAGUGUAUGUAAUGGGCUUGUAGGAUGCAUUAGUAAUUUUUAAAAAUCAAUCUUUACCCUACACUGUGUCCAUAAAAUGCUAGGCAUAUUCAUGUUAAUAUUACUGUUGUUACUGUCAUAUAAAUGCCAUAUUCAAUGUAGAUGCUCAGAAAAAUAUGAUUGUUUUGCUACAGGAGAGAUUAGACCAGGGACAAUAAAUAUGGAUUAGGCAAGAAUGUGUUAACUCAGCAGCCCAGGGUUUUUUCAACCCUGCACAUUCAAAGGUAAGGUUUGUUUUUAGGACUAGCUAGCCUCUGAGUUCUGGAAAUAGUCUUACCGUGAAGAGUGUUUUUGUAUAUCUGAGGCCUUGGGUUUAUGGUGAAUGACUGACUUAUAUGCCUGAGGCCCUGAGCCAUGCUGUAUUUAUUUGAACCAUGUGGUAUCAAUUUAACCAGAUACGUUUAUUCUAAGAUAUGAUUUAUGCUGAAUGCCUGGUUUUGUUCUAGAGGGAUCAUGGAAAGGAAGCUGAAUUUGCCAAGUUUUGCCACUUGGGCAUUGCAUGCCUAUGUGAUUAACCACCAAUAAAAACCUGGGACAUCAAAGAAUAAAUAAGCUGCUCUAAUUGCCAAGAAUUCACAUGUGGUUGUAUGCAGCUUUACUGGGAGACUGAAGUGUAUCUGCAUGUGAUUCUGCUGUGAUGGACACUUGAUCUUGAGAUGACGUCAUACUGGAUGAUCCUAGUGCACCCUAAAUCCAAUAAGUGUUCUUAUGAAAGACAGAAGAGGAGAAGAUACAGGAAAUAGAAGAAGGCUACUUGAGGAUGGAAGCAGAGAUUGGAGUUAUGCAGCUACAAACCAAAGAAUGCCUUGAGCCACCAGCAGCUGAAAGAGCUAGUCAGCAAUACAACUGGGAUUUGAUAUCAGAUUCAUACGAUUCCGAAGACCCUGACCACCAAAUGCAAAAGAGAAGGCAGACACCUAGAAUUCCAUCCUAGAAUUAAGACGUGACAAUAAACUUUGAUUUUGUGAGUGCAUUGUACGCUGACCUAAUAGAAGAUGAAAAGUGGAAAAAUUUGCACAAUGAGUUCAAGAACUCUGAGGAAAAGUAUUCAAACAGUCUAGUUAAGAAAACCUUAUUAAGUGGAAAUUUCAUACCAAACAAGGCUGCACAGCUUGGAAAAGCCCUGCACUUAAAAUUAACUUCAGCCGGUGAUGUGCUGAGGCUCUUGACUCAAGUACAGGCACACGGGCUGGCUAUGAUUUGGAGAAACAUGGUAAGUCAUAUGAAUGUUAGUUGAUAACUAAUUUUAUUGUUCAUGUGCGGAGGACAUAGGGUCAAAUGUGCCCCAAGAAGACCUCGAGAAAAUAUAUGUGGCUCUGGAUACAGACCUCAUGUGACAAAAGGAAGCAAUAACCAGGAAAGACUGAUUCUCUCUGCUUAUCAUUUAGAACAAUCAAAAUAAGUUUGAAAUGAAAAAAACUCCAGGGGUUUUGAAAUUAUUAAACUGGCAUGUACAUACUAAAAGGGAGCCAAUAAGGAAUUUACUACUAAUAGGGCAUGGGGGAAAGCAGAUCCAAAGUUCUAAUUAAUGUUUUAAAAUGAUGGUAUCCAUUUGCCAGUUUUAAGAUAAGUCCAUACUGCUGAAAAUUGCUCUAUGUUUCUUACCACAUUUAUCUAUGUCAGCAUUUAUUUUACUUCUAAAUUUAAUUACAAUUUUUAAAUUCCAUUAUACAAGUUAUCUCACAUUUAACUAUUUGUUACCUUUCCUUCUCAUCUUACAAUAUUACUUCUCUACCUGUCAAACUAUAUACAGUCCAGUUCCUAUUCCAAUUAUGGCUAUAAUUGCAGUACAAUUAAUCAAUUAAUUAACAAAGCAUAGCAAAAAAUCAAAAGAACUUUAAAAAAUUAUGUAUAAUUGUGAUCAAUGUGGAUGUUUUUAAAUAUGUUCAACUAUUUAUACUAUUUUCCUUCUCAAAGAAUCAUCAGAAUGCUGAACACAUAAAAUAAACAUUGGAUAAAUUAAAAAUAAUUUUUCAUUCUAAACAAUCUAAAGUAAUUUAAGUAUAGUUCCUAUUUAGACUUAACCAUAACACUUUGAAAAACUUGAAAGAAUUCACUGAUUUUUUAUAAAAUUUAAAAUUAAUACAUAUUACACAAUUUGUAAUAUAGAUUUUUACUUUGAACAUGAGGGCAUUUUAAAUGGAGCUUCUUUAAAAUAUAAUUCACAUAUAAAAAUUUCAGAAAAUUUUAAGGACCUUUUUCUUUUUACUAAUGCUUUGAUUAGGAUUUCAGUCUGCAUACAAAUUUGUCAAGAUUUUAGCUGAUACUCUUUCAGGAAACUAUUUUAAUAGAUCAUUACCUUUCCUUAUCUCUCAAUGUCAUUAGAUAUGUACAUUUUAAUCUUAAUUUCUAGGACAAAUAUACAUAUCUUUUUCUGAUUAUGUGCCUCUAAGUUUGAUAAAAAGUUCUUGAUGCAACCAGUGGACUCAACACUUCUCCUUACUUUGCAUUUAUAAUAAUAGGCUUAUAGCAGUUUUUUUCUCCAAAUUAAAGUAUAAAUA